This 253-nucleotide ribosomal RNA is filed under the name uncultured bacterium. Its description in RNAcentral is "partial 16S ribosomal RNA". It matches the Rfam family "Bacterial small subunit ribosomal RNA", at positions 524 to 776 of the family's 1533-position model. RNAcentral also lists the same sequence under 1 other name. The record is from RNAcentral.
UACGGGGGGGGCAAGCGUUGUUCGGAAUUACUGGGCGUAAAGGGCUCGUAGGUGGCCAACUAAGUCAGACGUGAAAUCCCUCAGCUUAACUGGGGAACUGCGUCUGAUACUGGAUGGCUUGAGUUUGGGAGAGGGAUGCGGAAUUCCAGGUGUAGCGGUGAAAUGCGUAGAUAUCUGGAGGAACACCGGUGGCGAAGGCGGCAUCCUGGACCAAUACUGACACUGAGGAGCGAAAGCCAGGGGAGCAAACGGG